UGAGUACGAGACGCUAAGGCGUCGAAGUAGUGGAUGUCAUACUUCCAAGAAAAGCUCGCAAUGUCAUAAAUAAAGAAUGCCUGUACCAUAACCGACACAGGUGGGUAGGUAGAGUAUACUAAGGGGCGCGAGAUAACUCUCUCUAAGGAACUCGGCAAAAUGACUCCGUAACUUCGGGAGAAGGAGUGCCUUAUUCGUAAGGCUGCAAUAACAAGAUCCAAGCAACUGUUUAUCAAAAACACAGGUCUCCGCUAAGUCGUAAGACGAUGUAUGGGGGCUGACGCCUGCCCAGUGCCAGAAGGUUAAAGAAGUCGGUUAGCAUUAGCGAAGCUGGUAACUGAAGCCCUGGUGAACGGCGGCCGUAACAAUAACGGUCCUAAGGUAGCGAAAUUCCUUGUCGGGUAAGUUCCGACCCGCACGAAAGGCGUAAUGAUUUGGAUACUGUCUCGGAGAGGGGCUCGGUGAAAUAGACUUGUCUGUGAAGAUGCGGACUACCUGCACCAGGACAGAAAGACCCUAUGAAGCUUUACUGUAACUUGAAAUUGAAAUUGGACUUUAUUCGCGCAGUAUAGGUGGGAGGUGUUGAUUAUAAUCUUGCGGGAUUAUUGGAGCCAUCAGUGAGAUACCACUCUUGUAAUGUUAGAUUUCUAACUUUGAAUCAUUAUCUGGUCAAAGAACAGUUUCAGGCGGGCAGUUUGACUGGGGCGGUCGCCUCCUAAAUGGUAACGGAGGCGUACAAAGGUUUCCUCUGAACGGGUAGAAAUCGUAUCUAGAGUGUAAAGGCAUAAGGAAGCUUGACUGUGAGACCUACAAGUCGAGCAGGGACGAAAGUCGGUCUUAGUGAUCUGACGGUACUGAGUGGAAAGGCCGUCACUCAACGGAUAAAAGUUACUCUAGGAUAACAGGCUGAUCUCCCCCAAGAGUUCACAUCGACGGGGAGGUUUGGCACCUCGAUGUCGGCUCAUCGCAUCCUGGGGCGGUAGUACGUCCCAAGGGUUGGGCUGUUCGCCCAUGAAAGCGGUACGCGAGCUGGGUUCAGAACGUCGUGAGACAGUUCGGUCCAUAUCCGGUGUAGGCGUUAGAAUAUUGAGAGGAGCCUUCUUUAGUACGAGAGGACCGAGAAGGACAUACCUCUGGUGUACCAGUUAUCGUGCCAACGGUAAACGCUGGGUAGCUAUGUAUGGAGUGGAUAACCGCUGAAAGCAUCUAAGUGGGAAGCCCACCUCAAGAUAAGUAUUC
RNAcentral lists this ribosomal RNA (1239 nucleotides) under metagenome. RNAcentral describes it as "bacterial LSU rRNA". It matches the Rfam family "Bacterial large subunit ribosomal RNA", at positions 1564 to 2813 of the family's 2925-position model. The record is from RNAcentral.